CAUUACCAUAUUUUCUAACACUCAUUUACACCACUCCUCAAAAAAGUAAAAAAUAAUAAGGGUACGUUUGUACCCAAAAAAUUAUUCAUAAUCUUCCGGAUUGUAUUCGUAUCCAUAGGUUUCUUCAUCUCUUUUUCUAAUCGCUUCCUUUUCAGAUUCUGACGCUUUUGACCAUUCCGCCUGAUCAUUUACCCAAUCAUUAUGUGCUUGAACGUUAGCAUUAUGUUUUGCCACUUCUUCAUCAUAUUGACUCGCUAAAUCCGCCAUUUUUUGCGCUUCUUCUUCGCUUAAAUCAUCAUUUGUGUUUUGUUUAUAAAUCGAAUUUUCUUGACCACUUUCGACUCGUAACGAACUUUCAUACGCUGCUGCGGCAGGACCUUCCAUUACAUUCCCUUGUGGUAUAAUACCAUUCGCUACCGCACUGUUAUAUGCAUGUAUCUUAUCCAUUUCAGUAUAAUUGCCAUAAAUAACACUUUCUAAAGUUUUUCUGUCAGUAAUGUUAUUAACGUCAAUUUUGUUGUUAAAUUGUUCCUCUUUAGCUUUUGAAUUGUCCUCCUCUACAUUUAGAUUAGCUUUCAUUUCCUUUUUCUCUUUAUUUUCCUUAUCUUUAUCAACGCUCUUUUCUUUUGUCUUAUUUUCUUUCUUUUGCCCAACCUUUUUCUCAGGCUCUUUUUUCUCCUCUUCAUUUCCACACGCUGAUAAAACUAAAAUACUAGCAAGCAAUAAAAACAGUAACCUCUUCAUGUUUUACACUCCUUAAAAAUUGUUUUUAUAUAAAGCGCUACGAGAGCGCCUUGUUAAUAAAAUUUCAUGCUUGAAACAACUUUGCCAACAAUUUUAAUCUCAUUAUCGUUUGUAUAAACUUGUGGUAAAUGAUCGUUGUUGUUUGAUUCAGGUAAUAAUACAAUUUUGUCAUCGUUAUAUCUGACGCGCUUUACAGUUGCGUUGUAUCCAUUAACAUUAACCACGCCGAUUUGCCCAUUUUCCACAAUUGCAUCUUUUUCCACAAUUACAACAUCACCGUCACGAAAUUCUUUGUCCAUUGAGUCGCCAGAAACUUUUAAACCGAAUAGCUCUUUGCCACCUUUAGUCAUUUGAGAAGGUAUAUAUGUAUAUUCGAUUAUAUUUUCUUCUGUGUAGAUAGGUAAACCCGCACUUAUUUUAGCGACUACUGGAAUUGCUGUGACAGGUAGUGUGUCUAUUUGUGGUUUAGUUUUAUCCUCAACUAAAUCUGAUUUAUUCACAUUAAAGUAAUUUGCUAAUAGCUCGAUUUUAUCUAUUCUUGGGUAAGUUUUUGCAUUAAUCCAAUCAGAUAAAGUUGUAUAUUUCACUUUCAAAUCUAUUGAUAAUUGCUUUCUGUCAACGUUAUUUUCCUUCAUCAAACGUCGAAUAUUUUUAGACAUUACUUCUUUAUUACCUAACAUUUUUUACACUCCUUUCGUCUAAUGCCWYWSUUAAGAUUGAGCUGUGAUGGGGAGAGGAACUUGUUCCUCGAGUCGUUGAUUUCACACUGCCGAGAAAAGCCUCUAGCUAGAAUAACGGUGCCCGUACCGCAAACCGACACAGGUAGUCAAGAUGAGAAUUCUAAGGUGAGCGAGCGAACUCUCGUUAAGGAACUCGGCAAAAUGACCCCGUAACUUCGGGAGAAGGGGUGCUCUUUGAGGUUCACGCUUCGAAGAGCCGCAGUGAAUAGGCCCAAGCGACUGUUUAUCAAAAACACAGGUCUCUGCUAAACCGUAAGGUGACGUAUAGGGGCUGACGCCUGCCCGGUGCUGGAAGGUUAAGAGGAGUGGUUAGCGCAAGCGAAGCUACGAAUCGAAGCCCCAGUAAACGGCGGCCGUAACUAUAACGGUCCUAAGGUAGCGAAAUUCCUUGUCGGGUAAGUUCCGACCCGCACGAAAGGCGUAACGAUUUGGGCACUGUCUCAACGAGAGACUCGGUGAAAUCAUAGUACCGGUGAAGAUGCCGGUUACCCGCGACAGGACGGAAAGACCCCGUGGAGCUUUACUGUAGCCUGAUAUUGAAAUUCGGUACAGUUUGUACAGGAUAGGUAGGAGCCUUAGAAGCGUGAGCGCUAGCUUACGUGGAGGCAUUGGUGGGAUACUACCCUAAUUGUAUUGGAUUUCUAACCCGCAGCACUUAUCGUGCUGGGAGACAGUGUCAGGCGGGCAGUUUGACUGGGGCGGUCGCCUCCUAAAGAGUAACGGAGGCGCUCAAAGGUUCCCUCAGAAUGGUUGGAAAUCAUUCAUAGAGUGUAAAGGCAUAAGGGAGCUUGACUGCGAGACCUACAAGUCGAGCAGGGUCGAAAGACGGACUUAGUGAUCCGGUGGUUCCGCAUGGAAGGGCCAUCGCUCAACGGAUAAAAGCUACCCCGGGAUAACAGGCUUAUCUCCCCAAGAGUUCACAUCGACGGGGAGGUUUGGCACCUCGAUGUCGGCUCAUCGCAUCCUGGGGCUGUAGUCGGUCCCAAGGGUUGGGCUGUUCGCCCAUUAAAGCGGUACGCGAGCUGGGUUCAGAACGUCGUGAGACAGUUCGGUCCCUAUCCGUCGUGGGCGUAGGAAAUUUGAGAGGAGCUGUCCUUAGUACGAGAGGACCGGGAUGGACAUACCUCUGGUGUACCAGUUGUCGUGCCAACGGCAUAGCUGGGUAGCUAUGUAUGGACGGGAUAAGUGCUGAAAGCAUCUAAGCAUGAAGCCCCCCUCGAGAUGAGAUUUCCCAACUUCGGUUAUAAGAUCCCUCAAAGAUGAUGAGGUGAAUAGGUUCGAGGUGGAAGCGUAGCGAUACGUGGAGCUGACGAAUACUAAUCGAUCGAAGACUUAAUC
This 2822-nucleotide ribosomal RNA is filed under the name Staphylococcus pseudintermedius E140. RNAcentral describes it as "bacterial LSU rRNA". The stretch from base 1285 to 2822 matches the Rfam family "Bacterial large subunit ribosomal RNA". Lineage: Bacteria; Bacillati; Bacillota; Bacilli; Caryophanales; Staphylococcaceae. The record is from RNAcentral.